Molecule: small nucleolar RNA, 107 nt
Filed under: Solanum tuberosum (potato)
Lineage: Eukaryota; Viridiplantae; Streptophyta; Magnoliopsida; Solanales; Solanaceae
Description: Plant small nucleolar RNA R71
Rfam family: Plant small nucleolar RNA R71
About the family: R71 is a member of the C/D box family of snoRNAs containing the C (UGAUGA) and D (CUGA) box motifs. Multiple nearly identical copies of this snoRNA have been identified in Arabidopsis, and it is thought to function as a 2'-O-ribose methylation guide for 18S ribosomal RNA.
Source: Rfam by way of RNAcentral
AGCCCGUGAGUUGGGCAUUGACGUAGGAGUUUCUUGAACCUCAACCGCGUUUCAUGGAUGGGUUCACCUUCCAAUCGCUUAAAACAUUAAAUGUUAUCUCUGAGUUU